This 68-nucleotide transfer RNA is filed under the name Epiophlebia superstes. Its description in RNAcentral is "tRNA-Tyr". It matches the Rfam family "tRNA". Rfam says of the family: Transfer RNA (tRNA) molecules are approximately 80 nucleotides in length. Their secondary structure includes four short double-helical elements and three loops (D, anti-codon, and T loops). The record is from RNAcentral. Lineage: Eukaryota; Metazoa; Arthropoda; Insecta; Odonata; Epiophlebiidae.
GGUAAAAUGGUCGAGUAAUUAGGCGAUAGACUGUAAAUCUAUAUACGAGAUUUUCAUCUCUUUUACCA